GGGGAACAGCUGGUAGGCCCCUUUAGCGUCCCUGAAGGUGUGAAAAUGACCUCGCCAAAGUAUAGAGUCUCUGACUGACCACUUUCUUCCAUGGUACAAAAAGAACCUGCCUAUUCCCUAUAGAAACUGGAGACUGAAGUUGGGAAGACGCCGGGGGAGGGCCUGAGGAGAAGGGUAGAGAAGAGGUUGAGUAAAGUGGAGGUCCUGGUGAACAAG
Bufo bufo (common toad) is the source of this 216-nucleotide long non-coding RNA. RefSeq lists it as uncharacterized. NCBI's taxonomy places the organism in Eukaryota, Metazoa, Chordata, Amphibia, Anura, Bufonidae. The transcript has 3 exons. The record is from RefSeq and is a predicted model, not a curated record.